This 191-nucleotide ribosomal RNA is filed under the name uncultured bacterium. Its description in RNAcentral is "partial 16S ribosomal RNA". It matches the Rfam family "Bacterial small subunit ribosomal RNA", at positions 1309 to 1500 of the family's 1533-position model. The record is from RNAcentral.
AACUCGCCUGCAUGAAGUCGGAAUUGCUAGUAAUCGUAGGUCAGCAUACUACGGUGAAUACGUUCCCGGGCCUUGUACACACCGCCCGUCAAACCAUGAGAGUUGGCAACACCGAAGUCGGUAGUCUAACCGCAAGGAGGACGCCGCCGAAGGUGGGGUCGAUGAUUAGGGUUAAGUCGUAACAAGGUACC